UGGAUGCAUUGGAGACGGUGCUCCCGCCGAUGAACGAUGGCUGGAGAAGCAGUUGGCGAUGGUGCUUCCUCCGAUGUACGAGGUUGGAGAUGCAGUUUGAGACGAUGGCUCCGACGAUGGAUGUUGAUGCUGGAGAGAGAGCUGCAGAUAUGGUGCUCCCACGAUGUAAUGAUAGCUGGAGGAAGCUGAUGCAGAUUGGUGCUCCCCCAAUGUAUGAUGUUGAGAGAUGCAGUUUGGAGAACGUGCUCCGCACCCCGACGUAUGGAUGGUGGAAGAAGCUGCUGGAGAUGGUGCUCACCUGAUGAACGAUGCUGGAGAAGGUGCAGGAGAUGCUACUCACCCGACGGAUGAUGGUGGAGAAGCUGCUGGAGAUGGUGCUCUUCCGACGGAUGAUGCUGCAGAAGCUGCUGGAGAUGGUGCCCGUCCGAAUGGAAACGGAUGCCUGGAGAAGCUGUUGGUGAUGGUGGCUUCUCCCGCCGAAUGAUUGCUUGAGAAGCUGCUUGCAGAUGUUGGGCUCCCCGAUGUAACAAUGUUGGCGAUGGCCAUUGGAGUGGGUGCUCCCCCGACGGAUGAUGGUGGCGAAAAAGCCUGGCUGGACGAUGGUGCCUCUCCUUCCGAUGAACGAUGCUGCAGUAGCUGUUGGAGAUGGUGGUCUUCUGAUUAACGAUGCUGUAGAAGGUGCUGGAGAUGCUACUGCUUCGAUGUACGAUGUUGGAGAUGCAGUUGGAGACAGUGCUCCCCCGAUAUACGAUGUUGGAGAAACAGCUGCAGAUGUUGCUCCCCUGAUUGACGAUGUUGGAGAUGCAAUUUGGAAGUCGGUGGCACCGCCCGACGAUGAUAGUGGAGAGCUGCCUGGAGAAUGGUGCCCCCCCGAUGAACGAUG
Molecule: long non-coding RNA, 883 nt
Filed under: Coturnix japonica (Japanese quail)
Lineage: Eukaryota; Metazoa; Chordata; Aves; Galliformes; Phasianidae
Description: lncRNA (ENSCJPG00005003178.1)
Source: RNAcentral